This 435-nucleotide ribosomal RNA is filed under the name uncultured bacterium. RNAcentral describes it as "bacterial SSU rRNA". It matches the Rfam family "Bacterial small subunit ribosomal RNA", at positions 340 to 786 of the family's 1533-position model. The record is from RNAcentral.
UACGGAAGGCAGCAGUGGGGAAUAUUGGACAAUGGGCGAAAGCCUGAUCCAGCAAUGCCGCGUGAGUGAUGAAGGCCUUAGGGUUGUAAAGCUCUUUUACCCGGGAUGAUAAUGACAGUACCGGGAGAAUAAGCUCCGGCUAACUCCGUGCCAGCAGCCGCGGUAAUACGGAGGGAGCUAGCGUUGUUCGGAAUUACUGGGCGUAAAGCGCACGUAGGCGGCUUUGUAAGUUAGAGGUGAAAGCCCUGGAGCUCAACUCCAGAAUUGCCUUUUAAGACUGCAUCGCUUGAAUCCAGGAGAGGUGAGUGGAAUUCCGAGUGUAGAGGUGAAAUUCGUAGAUAUUCGGAAGAACACCAGUGGCGAAGGCGGCUCACUGGGACUGGGUAUUGACGCUGAGGGUGCGAAAGCGUGGGGAGCAAACAGGGAUUAGAUACC